GACGAACGCUGGCGGCGUGCUUAACACAUGCAAGUCGAACGGAAAGGCCCCUUUGGGGGUACUCGAGUGGCGAACGGGUGAGUAACACGUGAGUAACCUGCGCUUGACGUCGGGAUAACUUCAGGAAACUGGGGCUAAUACCGGAUAGGAAUCCUUGCUGCAUGGUGGGGGUUGGAAAGCUUCGGCGGUUUUGGAUGGACUCGCGGCGUAUCAGCUUGUUGUUGGAGUAUUGGCUUAGCACGGCUUUGACGGGUCGCCGGCCAGAGAGGGCGACCGGCGAUUUUGGCCCUGGGAUUCGUCGCGGUCUCCUACGGUAGGCAGCCGUGGGGCAUUUUGCUCCAUGCGCACACGCCUGAUGCCGUGCGGCCGCGAGCGCGAUGACGGCCUUCGGGUUGUAGUCCGCAUGCAGCAGGCGCGCUGCUUGUCGUGACGGUACCUCCAGAAGAAGCCCCGGCUAUCUACGUG
This 465-nucleotide ribosomal RNA is filed under the name uncultured bacterium. RNAcentral's name for it is "partial 16S ribosomal RNA". It matches the Rfam family "Bacterial small subunit ribosomal RNA", at positions 28 to 507 of the family's 1533-position model. The record is from RNAcentral.